UCCGUAGGUGAACCUGCGGAAGGAUCAUUACCGAGUUGAUUCGGGCUCCGGCCCGAUCCUCCCACCCUUUGUGUACCUACCUCUGUUGCUUUGGCGGGCCGCGGUCCUCCGCGGCCGGCCCCCCUCCCCGGGGGGUGGCCAGCGCCCGCCAGAGGACCAUCAAACUCCAGUCAGUAAACGAUGCAGUCUGAAAAACAUUUAAUAAACUAAAACUUUCAACAACGGAUCUCUUGGUUCUGGCAUCGAUGAAGAACGCAGCGAAAUGCGAUAAGUAAUGUGAAUUGCAGAAUUCAGUGAAUCAUCGAAUCUUUGAACGCACAUUGCGCCCUUUGGUAUUCCGAAGGGCAUGCCUGUUCGAGCGUCAUUACAACCCUCAAGCUCUGCUUGGUAUUGGGCACCGUCCUUUGCGGGCGCGCCUCAAAGACCUCGGCGGUGGCGUCUUGCCUCAAGCGUAGUAGAACAUACAUCUCGCUUCGGAGCGCAGGGCGUCGCCCGCCGGACGAACCUUCUGAACUUUUCUCAAGGUUGACCUCGGAUCAGGUAGGGAUACCCGCUGAACUUAAGCAUAUCAAUAAGCGGAGGA
This 583-nucleotide ribosomal RNA is filed under the name Botryosphaeria dothidea. RNAcentral describes it as "eukaryotic LSU rRNA". The stretch from base 211 to 364 matches the Rfam family "5.8S ribosomal RNA". The record is from RNAcentral. Lineage: Eukaryota; Fungi; Ascomycota; Dothideomycetes; Botryosphaeriales; Botryosphaeriaceae.